RNAcentral lists this long non-coding RNA (7873 nucleotides) under Arabidopsis thaliana (thale cress). RNAcentral's name for it is "long non-coding RNA (ATHA_LNC000441)". The record is from RNAcentral. Lineage: Eukaryota; Viridiplantae; Streptophyta; Magnoliopsida; Brassicales; Brassicaceae.
AGAACACAGACAAUAGGAAAUGAAAUGAGCAGAGAUAAUUCAUAAGAAUGUUUUAGAAAAGAAAUUAAGCUUCGGUGAAGCUUGGGGGCUUGUAGGCAAUGAAACUGAUGCAUUGGACUUGACGGGUGUUGUCGAAUCCGAUGAUCCUAAUGAAGGCGCCCGGGUACUCCUUCUUGCAUUCUUCAACUUCCUUCAACACUUGAGCGGAGUCGGUGCAUCCGAACAAUGGAAGCUUCCACAUUGUCCAGUACCGUCCAUCGUAGUAUCCGGGAGUGUUUCCGUGCUCACGGUACACAAAUCCGUGCUAUAAACACAUAAGAAAACCAUUCAAUACAAUUGAUAUUGGAGGAUAUGCACAAGGUGAUAUAGUCUAUUUCGGUUCUACAAAAUCCGGUUAUAGGCUAAUAUUUCUAGCAAUGAAAACGAAUAAAUAAUAAUGAUUAGUAGACAAAAGAAAACUUUUGUGUUUAUUACCUCUAACUCGAAUUCAACACAAGGAAUCCACUUGUUGCGGAGAAGGUAGUCAACUUCCUUAGCCAAUUCGACGUCACUAAGGUCAGGGAGGUAAGAUAGAGUCUCAAACUUCUUCUUUCCAAUUGGUGGCCACACCUAUAAUCCCCAAAUCCAAUUCCAAAUUAAUAUAUCCUAUGUUUUGUUUUAUUGCACAUGACAAAAGACAGUUUUUAUUGAUGAUAUUACCUUCAUGCAGCUAACUCUUCCCCCGUUGCUUGCGAUGGAAGUGAUGUCCUUGUUGGUCUUGCGGGUGACCGGGAAUGCAGCGGAUGACUUCAAGCCGGUGAAUGGAGCGACCAUGGUGGCCUGAGCCGGGGAUGUAACCACAGCGGCGGAGGAGAGCAUAGAGGAAGCCAUUACUACUUCUUGUUGUUUCUCUUCUUCUUUUGCUCGUUUACUUACUGACUUGUUUUCCUACUGGUGUUGUCAUCUUUAUAUAAUGAGAACCCCCUAAAGGCGAAAAGCCCUCAUGAUCAAAGGGUCCAUGAUUCAUGAUAACGUCGUUUACUGCCACAGGAUUAAGGAAAGGUGUUGACACCCUUAUCGGUACGCACCACUAGGAUAAGGCCACGUGGCAGAAAACUCCAUUAUCUUAUCUUUUCUCUUGUGGGGGAAAUGAAGUGAAUGUGCGGUUACUGGUCUCCACUUGAUCGGUUGCUUUUGGCUCCUUUCGUUUGGGAGAAAAGAAACCAGACGCAUUACCUUAAAUUUAAUGCUUUUGGUCUUUUGGACCUCUUAUUUACCAUGUAUGAUUUAAUUUGGCUUAACACUUUCUUUGGAAAUAAGGUCGCAUUAAAAAAUAGUUAUAACAAAAUUAUUUAAAUUUGAUAUUUACAUAAAUAUAUUGUAUGAUAUUUAUCCGGACAAAAAAAAAAGCUUUAACCAUCUCCAAUAUUUGUUUCUAUUAUUUUCUUUCUGAAUAUAGAGGAAAAAAUAUAAUAGAGAUUUAUAUUUUAACUUCAAUGGUUCCUCAAAAAUUCGUUAGAAAAAAUAAAUAAGAGAAAAAAUAAAAAUCUCUAUUUUUUGCUUUAGAAAAAAAAUUAGAAAUUUCUAUUUUACAAAUGAAAAUAGAGAUGAGUUAGAGUUAAAUAAAUACAAAAAUAGAGUAUAUAAAUAAAAAUAGAGAUAGAUUCGAGAUGCUCUUAAAAAUAUUCAUUACUCUUUCCGUUUUAUUAAUAUCAAUUGUUAAGAUUUUUCAGGCAGACUUAUAAAUAAGAUUCCAUUUCAGACUAAUGGAAGUAAACCUAUCAAAAGAAUUCUAACGUGCUGUAGAGAGACUCCUUCGUCAUCGUCCCUUUUGUGAAAGAGUAAAUUAAAGAAUCCAUAAUGAGCAUAGUGUAAGAAGAACCAUUUAUCUAUUAGAUAUAUUCUAGUACUGGUAGACUGUCGAUUCUGGAUACAUCCUGAAAAUCAUUUACCACAAUAAAUUGUCGAUAAUCUUUUUGUUGGAAAAGUUAUAUAUUAUCUUCAAAUGAUAAUAUAUUAGUCGACAAAAGAAAAGCGAGACAAAAUUUGAAUACAUUGAUUUCGGUUAAUUCAAUACUUUCACUUCAUUUUUAGCAAAUAGUACUUUUAUUUCUGAUUUUUAUGUGGCUAGGAUAAAAGCAAAACCUUACUGGUUGGAGAGAGUAAAUAUUUGAGUCGAUACUAACAACAACUACAUCAUGCAAGAUAUGUUUGUGGGACAAAGAGACCGAGCGAACAAACGAAACGGCAAAACCAUCAUCUACAUGUAUCAAGUGCGCGGUAAACCCCUCAUGGAAGAAUUUCCAAGAAAACCUCCCAAAGUCCAUGGUAUCUUCUAUAUGAGGUAAUGCACGCUGCCUCUAGAUCAACAAGUAAUAUCAGCUCACGAUUAUCUUGCGACUCUGAUCACAUCACAAUAACAAUGGGGAACCCACAUACGCAACCGUUCUCCUUGGAGUACCAUGCCAUUGCACUUACGGCCCCCUCAAGCACAAAUAUGGCACCUCAAGCUGAUUUCCACCAUGCAAACUUGAGUAUGUAAUCAAAGGUGUAGAACGGAGUCAAGAACUCAUCUUAAAGUCACAUAAAACUAUGGUCAUGCACUCAUGGAUCACGACUACUACCUUCAGGCUCACAAAUUAAUGCCCCCUUUUCAAUCAUAUAUAUGAGAAGAAACGUGUACAAAGUACACAUUAACUGGUCACGAAAAAACUUUCGUGUAGGGAAAAGGAUCACAAGGUCCACUCCACUCCGCACCUCAGCUAAAUAAAUCAUUUUUCGAAAGUGAGAUAGUCUUAACUCUUAAGUCUUAACCCAUCCAUCUAAGUUACUAGUUUCUGUCUUUUAUAAGUCAUUUUGUUUCUUUUUCUUGGAUUUUAAUUGAAGCCAAAAUGUGUGAAUUAAAUCCGGGAGAUGGAAAAAAUGUUCGAUAAUUUGAAUUAUUAUUUUUAUAUGUAUUUUGUAUUUGAAUCAUGAAUUUUUUAUAUUUCGUUUGCAUAGAAGAAUCCAAAAACAUAUGAUUUUUUGUCAAAACAAAAACUUAAAACCAAACAUAUAGUAGAUGCGACGUUUUCAUUAUCAUUUGGAAUCUAGUUUUAUUUAGAACUUUUUGGGAACGUUAACUACUUUUCCUUCUAAAUAACUGUUUCAGCUUUUAAUGCAUAACCAAUGAUCAAAUUUAACGUAAACAAAAUUUCCAAAAUUUAGUAACUUCAUGCUUGACAAAUUUCAGUCUUUGUCGAUCCUUGCUUUAUGUAAUGCUAUUUCUUGACUUAAUAUCCCACUUAGGGGUUUGGAAUACAUGUUUUAUGUUUAUAAUUUUAAAAGAUGCAUUUGAAUUUUCUGUAUAUACUACCUUUUCCAAAUCUCCAAUGGCUAUGUCAUCUGAAAAAUGGUUACACUCCCUUACAUAAACUUUUCUCUAAAUAUCGAGGUUUGAUUGAUUGCUUUCAUGUGCAAAAUUUCUUAAAACAAUGUAGCAAGUUUUUCUUUUUUUAUUAGAGUUUAUUGGUUAGUCUAGGGAGUCAAAAGCAAGAAUUAUGAGGAUAAUUUAAAGGAGCCACAAUGUUGUUUAAAGGAGCUAAACGAAAAAUAAGAUUUCAAAGAUUUAAGGGCAAAAAUGAAAUGAAAUGAUAACUAUAAUUAUAGAGAAACUGAUAGGAAUAACAUUUUCACUUUCAAACAAUAGUUCCUCAACUGUUAAGUCGGCAAAUAAUUUCUUAAAUUUGCAUUGACCACAUAGAAAUGGGUUCCAGAAUAAUCAACGCUGAAUAUUCCAGAAAGGGGAUUAAGCUUCGGUGAAGCUUGGGGGCUUGUAGGCAAUGAAACUGAUGCAUUGGACUUGACGGGUGUUGUCGAAUCCGAUGAUCCUAAUGAAGGCGCCAGGGUACUCCUUCUUGCAUUCUUCAACUUCCUUCAACACUUGAGCGGAGUCGGUGCAUCCGAACAAUGGAAGCUUCCACAUUGUCCAGUAUCGUCCAUCAUAGUAUCCGGGAGUGUUUCCGUGCUCACGGUACACAAAUCCGUGCUAUAUAUAAAGAAAACCAUUCAAUACAAUUGAUAUAUAUAUUGGUGAUAGUCUAUUUCGGUUAUCCACUUAAGUUUCUAGCAAUGAAGAAGAAGAAUAAAGGAUGCUUAGAGACAAAGGAAAAGUUCAGUGUAUAUUACCUCCAACUCGAAUUCAACACAAGGAAUCCACUUGUUGCGGAGAAGGUAGUCAACUUCCUUAGCCAAUUCAACGUCACUAAGGUCAGGGAGGUAAGAUAGAGUCUCAAACUUCUUCUUUCCGAUUGGUGGCCACACCUAUAAAUUCGAAUUCCCAAUUAUUCUAAAGUAUUGUUCAGUUGCACUAAUUGCACAUGACAAAAGACAGUUUUCAUUAAUGACAUUUACCUUCAUGCAGCUAACUCUUCCUCCGUUGCUUGUGAUGGAAGUAAUGUCGUUGUUGGCCUUGCGGGUGACCGGGAAAGAAGCGGAUGACUUCAAGCCGGUGAAUGGAGCGACCAUGGUGGCUUGAGCCGGGGAGGUAACCACAGCGGUGGAGGAGAACAUAGAGGAAGCCAUUACUUCUUCUUGUUGUUUCUCUUCUUCUUUUGGUUUUUCUCUUACUUACUUGUUUGUCUGUUGGUUUUGUCAUCUUUAUAUAGUGGGAACCGCUAGAGGCAACUAGCCCUAAUGAUCAAAGGGGCCAUAAUUCAUGAUAACGUCGUUAAUUGCCACAGGAUUAAGGAAAGGUGUUGACACCCUUAUCGAUUUGGACCACUAGGAUAAGAUCACGUGGCAGAAAACUCCAUAAUCUUAUCUUUCUCAUGUAAGGGUAGGAGUGAAUGUGUAUGGCUACUGGUCUCCACUUGAUCGGUUGCUUUUGGCUCCUUUCAAUUGGGAGGCGUCAAAUUGUAGAUAUCGGUUAAAUACUUUUUACAUAUAGAUUAAAAAAAUGAUUAAAUUUCUAUUACCUUAUAUUAACACAUUCAUAUUUUUAUUUUUCCACUUGAUAAUCUUAAAUAAUAAGAAUAUAAGUAUAAUCUUUGAAUUCAUCCCACAUUUUAAAAGUAUAAUUAAAUCAGACAGAGUUCAUUCAAAAUGGUUUUUAAUUGGGAAAUGUAAACUAGUAUUUUGUGUUAUUAUUUUCUAUGUAGUAUGUACGAUCACUAGAACUUUUAGUCACAUAAUGGAUAUUAAAUUAGAAAACAAUCCAAAUGCUUGUGAAUUUUCAGGUUUUACGGCUAAUUAAUAUAUUUCUGAUGAACAAGAGGAACCCACGGCACCGUUCCUUUUGGAGCACAACGCAAUUGCACUUACGGCCCACUUAAGCACGAAUGUGGCACCUCAAGAUAAUUCCCACCAUGACAACUUAAGCACAAAAGCCAUGACGGAUCAUGGGGAAAUUUUAUAACACACUUCAAUGGAUGGUGUGGAUCCGAGGGAAGAAUCCACACUCUAAGGCCACAUGAAGAAGCUCAUAUGGUCAUGGGUCCACGAAUACCACGUAAAAGCUCAUAUAUGCCCCGGUCCAACCAUAUGAGAAGAAGUAGCCAAACCCAUUCAAGAAACAUUGAUUACUUUUCAUUGUAAAUAAGUGUUUUAGCUUUGAAUGUAUCGUAAACUAUCUAAUUUAAUGUAAAACAGUUUCCAAAUUAUAAAUAUUCAUGCUUUGUUAUCUCCAUUAUAAAUUUCAUUAAUUCUUGCGUGUCCUUGCUUGCUAUGAUGUCAUCUCUAAAUUUUUGGACUUGCGGCUCUAGAAUUCAUGUUUAUGGAUUUAAAAUAUACAGUUGGAUUUUUCUAUGUCAUUUUAAAAAAGAAAAUUUUUAGAUUAGAUUUUAAAAAGAGAAAUAAACGUGUUUACAACUUAAUGCAUACUUUUUUGAAAAACAAAUCUAAAACAGAGGAUUUGGUCUUAAGCUUGUCUUGUACCAAACCAAACUUGAAGACCUCCUUCAUACUUCAAAGCUCCCCCCACUCCGUAUUGUGCUCAGCCGGUUCCAAACAUUUUUGUCAAUUAACUUGACAAGUUUCUCCAUUGGUGAUGGUUGUUCACCAUGCUUUCAAGCAUUUCUUUCUCCCCAAAUCGAAUGAACCGUGUUUUGGAAGACAUACCGUAGAAUGAAGAUUUUUGUUUUGUCAUAGUUUUUGUCACAAAUGGUUUUAAAGACUUCCCUCCAAUAUGUCGAGUACUUAUCAAGUAGUAUUCCCCUUAUCAGCUUCUCCCAUACCUUCUGCGAGUAAGAGCACCCAAAAAAAAGAUGGUGUCUUGUUUCCAUAGGUUCGUGACAGAACAUGCAGUUUGUGUUCACUUGUUGAUUCCAUUUAAACAUUCUGUCUCCCGUGGCAACUCUGUUUUUUGAAGCUAGCCAACUGAGAAAGGAGUAGUUAGGGUAAAGUAAAAGAAACAGAUCCCUUUGUAUCCGUCCAUCGUAGGCUUAGUGUUGCGAAUUUUUGAGCAUGUAUCUCUUGUGACAAACUUUUGACGGUAGUGAUCAUUUUUUCCUUUCCAAAGGGCUAUGUAACUUUCAUCUUCUCUGAGACGACAUCUCUAUUUUCUACGUAUUUUUACUACCUUUACUGGCUGUUUUUCAUCUUUAAAUUAAAAUGUUCUAAAUCAACCCUCAAAAUUUGAUUGAUGGACGCAUCUUUGCUAUGCUUUCAAGUGCGAAAUGUACCUAAAAAGGGUACUCUUUCAUUAGAGAACCAAAGGCAAGAAUUAGGAGAGAAAUUUAAAGGAACUAAAAUGUUAGUUAAAAGAGAUAAAACGAAUAAAAAGAGUUAAAAGUGAUAAGAGCAGAAAUGAAGUGAUAUGAAUAGAGAUUUUUAUAGAGGAAACGAUAGAAAAACAAACCUUCAGUUUUUUCACUUUGGCAAAAUAAUUACUUAAAUUUACAUUGACCAUACAAAAUUGGGUUCCGGAUAGUCAACAUUGAAUAUUCCAGAAAAGGAUUUAAGCAUCAGUGAAGCUUGGGGGCUUGUAGGCAAUGAAACUGAUGCAUUGGACUUGACGGGUGUUGUCGAAUCCGAUGAUCCUAAUGAAGGCGCCCGGGUACUCCUUCUUGCAUUCUUCAACUUCCUUCAACACUUGAGCGGAGUCGGUGCAUCCGAACAAUGGAAGCUUCCACAUUGUCCAGUACCGUCCAUCGUAGUAUCCGGGAGUGUUUCCGUGCUCACGGUACACAAAUCCGUGCUAUAAACACAUAAGAAAACCAUUCAAUACAAUUGAUAUUGGAGGAUAUGCACAAGGUGAUAUAGUCUAUUUCGGUUCUAAAAAAUCCGGUUAUAGGCUAAUAUUUCUAGCAAUGAAAACGAAAAAAAUAAUAAUGAUUAGUAGACAAAGGAAAAGUUUUGUGUAUAUUACCUCCAACUCGAAUUCAACACAAGGAAUCCAUUUGUUGCGGAGAAGGUAGUCAACUUCCUUAGCCAAUUCGACGUCAGUAAGGUCAGGGAGGUAAGAUAGAGUCUCAAACUUCUUCUUUCCGAUUGGUGGCCACACCUAUAAUUCCCAAUUCCCAAUUAUUCUUAAGUAUUGUUCAGUUGCACUAAUUGCACAUGACAAAAGACAGUUUUCAUUAAUGACAUUACCUUCAUGCAGCUAACUCUUCCCCCAUUGCUUGUGAUGGAAGUAAUGUCGUUGUUGGCCUUGCGGGUGACCGGGAAAGAAGCGGAUGACUUCAAACCAGUGAAUGGAGCGACCAUGGUGGCUUGAGCCGGGGAGGUAACCACAGCGGCAGAGGAGAGCAUAGAGGAAGCCAUUACUUCUUCUUCUUCUUCUUUUGCUUAAUUGUUUUUCUAUUGGUUUUGUCAUCUUUAUAUAGUGAGAACCGUAAGAGGCAAAAAGCCCUAAUGAUCAAAGGGUCCGGGAUUCAUGAUAACUCGUUCACUACCACAUGAUUAAGGAAAGGUGUUG